RNAcentral lists this ribosomal RNA (252 nucleotides) under uncultured prokaryote. RNAcentral's name for it is "partial 16S ribosomal RNA". It matches the Rfam family "Bacterial small subunit ribosomal RNA", at positions 525 to 775 of the family's 1533-position model. The record is from RNAcentral.
ACGUAGGAGGCCAGCGUUAUCCGGAUUCACUGGGUGUAAAGCGCGUGCAGGCGGCUUAGCAAGUCGUGCGUGAAAGCGCUCUGGCUCAACCGGGCGAGGACGUGCGAGACUGUCGGACUAGAGGCAGGUAGAGGCAAGUGGAAUUCCGGGUGUAGUGGUGAAAUGCGUAGAGAUCCGGAGGAACCCCGGUGGCGAAGGCGACUUGCUGGGCCUGAACUGACGCUCAGACGCGAAAGCAUGGGGAGCGAACGG